AUGGGGGCCCCGGCACCAGUACUGCCCAUACUGGGACCAGUACGGGGAAUCUGGCACCUGCACUGGUGGUACUGGGACCAGUACGGGAGCACCAGUGCUAGUACUGCCCAUACUGGGACCAGUACGGGGGCUCUGGCCCCUGCACUGGUGGUACUGGGACCAGUACAGGAGCUCCGGCCCCUGUACUGCCUGUACUGGGACCAGUACAGGGGUCCUGGCACCAGUACUGCCUGUACUGGGACCAGUACGGGGUCCCGGCCCCUGUACUACUGGUACUGGGAACAGUACAGGGGCCCCAGCACCUGUACUGGUGGUACCGGGACCAGCACAGGAGCUCCGGCACCUGUACUGGUGGUACUGGGACCAGUACAGGGUCCCGGCACCUGUACGGGUGGUACUGGGACCAGCACGGGAGCUCCGGCACCUGUACUGGUGGUACUGGGACCAGCACGGGAGCUCCGGCACCUGUACUGGUGGUACUGGGACCAGUACGGGAGCUCCGGCACCUCUACUGCCCGUACUGGGACCAGUACGGGGUCCCUGCACCUGUACUGGUGGUACUGGGACCAGUACGGGAGCUCCGGCACCUCUACUGCCUGUACUGGGACCAGUACGGGGGCCCCGGCACCUGUUCUGGUGGUACCGGGACCAUUACAGGAGCUCCGGCACCUGUACUGCCCAUACUGGGACCAGUACGGGGGACCCGGCACCAGUACUGCCCGUACUGGGACCAGUACAGGAGCUCCGGCACCUCUACUGCCCAUACUGGGACCAGUACGGGGGCCCCGGCACCUGUACUGGUGGUACUGGGACCAGUACGGGAGCUCCGGCACCUCUACUGCCCGUACUGGGACCAGUAUGGGAGCUCCGGCACCAGUACUGCCUGUACUGGGACCAGUACGGGAGCUCCGGCACCUGUACUGGCCGUCCUGGGACCAGUACGGGAGCUCCGGCACCUGUACUGGUGGUACUGGGACCAGUAUGGGAGCUCCGGCAACAGUACUGCCUGUACUGGGAGCAGUACGGGAGCUCUGGCACCUGUACUGGUGGUACUGGGACCAGUACAGGGGCCCCAGCACCAGUACUGCCCGUACUGGGACCAGUACGGGGGCCCCGGCACCAGUACUGCCCGUACUGGGACCAGUAUGGGGGCCCCGGCACCUGUACUGCCCGUACUGGGACCAGUACGGGAGCUCCGGCACCAGUACUGCCUGUACUGGUCCCAGUGCGGGAGCUCCGGCACCAGUACUGCCCGUACUGGGACCAGUAUGGGAGCUCCAGCACCUGUACUGCCCGUACUGGGACCAGUACAGGAGCUCCGGCACCAGUACUGGUGGUACGGGGACCAGUACGGGGGCCCCGGCACCUGUACUGGUGGUACUGGGACCAGUACGGGAGCUCCGGCACCUCUACUGCCCGUACUGGGACCAGUACGGGAGCUCCGGCACCAGUACUGCCCGUACUGGGACCAGUACGGGAGCUCCGGCACCUCUACUGGUAGUACUGGGAACAGUACAGGAGCUCCGGCCCCAGUACUGCCCGUACUGGGACCAGUACGGGAGCUCCGGCACCUGUACUGGUGGUACUGGGACCAGUACGGGAGCUCCGGCACCUCUACUGCCCGUACUGGGACCAAUAUGGGAGCUCUGGCACCAGUACUGCCCGUACUGGGACCAGUACGGGAGCUCCGGCACCUCUACUGGUGGUACUGGGACCAGUACAGGAGCUCCGGCACCAGUACUGCCCGUACUGGGACCAGUACGGGGGCCCCGGCACCUGUACUGGUGGUACUGGGACCAGUACGGGAGCUCCGGCACCAGUACUGCCCGUACUGGGACCAGUACGGGGGCCCCGGCACCUGUUCUGGUGGUACUGGGACCAGUACGGGAGCUCCGGCACCUGUUCUGGUGGUACUGGGACCAGUACGGGAGCUCCGGCACUUCUACUGCCCGUACUGGGACCAGUACGGGGUCCCUGCACCUGUACUGGUGGUACUGGGACCAGUACGGGAGCUCUGGCACCAGUACUGGUGGUCCUGGGACCAGUAGGGGUCUGUGGCACCCGUUCUGGUGGUACUGGGACCAGUAUGGGGAUCUCUGGUACUGGUUGUACUGAACCGGGUCUACUGAGGCUAUGGGAUGCCCAUACUUGACCAGUACGGACCAGUAAGGGCCAGUACGGACCAGUGAGUGCCAAUAGGGACCAGUAUAAACCAGUAAGGACCAGUAUGUGGGCUGUGGCGCCGAACUGGGUGUACUGAGGCUAUGGAGUGCUUGUACUGAACCAGUAAGGACCAGUAAAAACCCAUAAUGGACAAUAGGGACCAGUGAGGCCCAGUAUGAACCAGUAAGGACCAGUACGGGGAUUUCUGGUACUGGUAGUACCGAACUGGGUGUACUGAGGCUAUGGGAUGCUCAUACUUGACCAGUAAGGCCCAGUAUGAACCAGUAAAGGCCAAUAGGCACCAGUAAGGACCAGUAUGGGGAU
Molecule: long non-coding RNA, 2487 nt
Filed under: Anser cygnoides (Swan goose)
Lineage: Eukaryota; Metazoa; Chordata; Aves; Anseriformes; Anatidae
Description: lncRNA (ENSACDG00005011270.1)
Source: RNAcentral